This is a long non-coding RNA of Cuculus canorus (common cuckoo), 1264 nucleotides long. RefSeq lists it as uncharacterized. The transcript has 3 exons. NCBI's taxonomy places the organism in Eukaryota, Metazoa, Chordata, Aves, Cuculiformes, Cuculidae. The record is from RefSeq and is a predicted model, not a curated record.
GCGGGUAAAAGGGGUCUCGAGCUACUGGGGAGUGUCCAGGGGAGGGACCUGAAGUCGGUGGAGGCUGAAGUCGAAGUGGCUGAAGUCACUCGGUCUGUUCAGCCUGGAGGAGACCAAGGGGAGACCUCGUUGUGGUCUGCAGUUUCCUCACCAGAGGAGAAGAAGGAGGAGCAGGCGCUGAGCUCUUCUCUCUGGUGACCGAUGGCAGAACCUGAGGGAAUGGCAGGAAGAUGAGCCAGGGGAGGUUUAGGUUGGAUUUUAGGUAAAAUUUCCUCACUCAGAGGGUGGUGGAGCACUGGAACAGUUCCUCAGGGAAACAGUUCUAACGUCCAGCCUGAUAAUACUCAGAAAGCGUUUGGACAAUGACCUCAGAGACAGGGUGUGAAUGUUGGGGCUGUCCUGAGCAGGGACAGGAGUUGGACCCAAUGUUCCUUGUGGGUCCCUUCCAACUCAGGACAUUCUAUGAUUCUAUGGUGACACCUGCCACCUUCUACCCCUCAGGCCCUGCCGCUGCAGGGUCACCUCCAGGUGCUGCCACAGAGAUGGUGGGAGGCAGGAGGCUGCAGGACGCUUCUCAGCAGCAGACACACUCACAGUACCCCCUCCUUCUCCCUGCGCUGUGACAGCACCUGCCCUCGGCUCCCAACAGCAGCCCGUUAGCUUUUACAACCAAUUUUGCCUUGGAGAUGCUUUCCGCUUCCCAAUUAACAGUGUUACAUCUGUAUUUUGCAAUGCUCUGUUUGUUCCCUUUUGCCUCCAAGGCACUACGCCAGCUGAUGCUUGCACACACAGACUGAAUUCCUUUCAGUGUGUUCUUGCAUGUUAGAACACUGUGCUAGUGCAGGUGAACCCACGCUUUGUCUCCAAAUAACCGACUGAAGGAUUUAUGCCUGUUUAAAGUUUAAUUCACUGAAAGCUUCUUUUUAAGAACGUGUAUGUUGGUAACUAUAAACCCAGGCAUGUCCCGUUCAGUGUCAUCAAACCAACCAGAAAAGAAGACUGAAAAGAACUUGCGAGAUGCUCUAAGAUGAGAUGUUGGCUGCAAGGAAAAACUUUGUCAAAGACAUGGUGAGAUGGUUCACAUGACUCGCGAGCUGCCACAGGUGAACAUAGUCUCUUCAGGACAGACAGGCUGCAAAGGGUGUGAGAGCUGCUGUGGACCACGCUGCUGUCUCCCAGAUGGUUGCUCCAAGGAAGCAGUUUCAGAUCCUCAAGCCAGCAGUGCCGAAUCUCAAAGCCACACAGUGCAGGAGUUUUUAUCCAG